Molecule: ribosomal RNA, 254 nt
Filed under: uncultured bacterium
Lineage: Bacteria
Description: partial 16S ribosomal RNA
Rfam family: Bacterial small subunit ribosomal RNA
Source: RNAcentral
UACGGGGGGAGCAAGCGUUGUUCGGAUUUACUGGGCGUAAAGGGCGCGUAGGCGGCCACCGCAAGUCGGUUGUGAAAUCUCCGGGCUUAACCCGGAAAGGUCAAUCGAUACUGCGGGGCUAGAGUGCAGAAGGGGCAACUGGAAUUCUCGGUGUAGCGGUGAAAUGCGUAGAUAUCGUAAGGAAGACCAGUGGCGAAGGCGGGUCUCUGGACAGUUCCUGACGCUGAGGCACGAAGGUCAGGGGAGCAAACGGG